UACGUAGGGCGCAAGCGUUGUCCGGAAUUAUUGGGCGUAAAGAGCUCGUAGGCGGCUUGUCACGUCGGGUGUGAAAGCCCGGGGCUUAACCCCGGGUCUGCAUUCGAUACGGGCUAGCUAGAGUGUGGUAGGGGAGAUCGGAAUUCCUGGUGUAGCGGUGAAAUGCGCAGAUAUCAGGAGGAACACCGGUGGCGAAGGCGGAUCUCUGGGCCAUUACCGACGCUGAGGAGCGAAAGCGUGGGGAGCGAACAGG
RNAcentral lists this ribosomal RNA (253 nucleotides) under uncultured bacterium. RNAcentral's name for it is "partial 16S ribosomal RNA". It matches the Rfam family "Bacterial small subunit ribosomal RNA", at positions 524 to 776 of the family's 1533-position model. The record is from RNAcentral.